AUACAACUUUUAGCAACGGAUCUCUUGGCUCUCGCAUCGAUGAAGAACGCAGCGAAAUGCGAUAAGUAAUGUGAAUUGCAGAAUUCAGUGAAUCAUCGAAUCUUUGAACGCACCUUGCGCUCCUUGGUAUUCCGAGGAGCAUGCCUGUUUGAGUGUCAUG
Molecule: ribosomal RNA, 160 nt
Filed under: Tricholoma robustum
Lineage: Eukaryota; Fungi; Basidiomycota; Agaricomycetes; Agaricales; Tricholomataceae
Description: 5.8S ribosomal RNA
Rfam family: 5.8S ribosomal RNA
About the family: 5.8S ribosomal RNA (5.8S rRNA) is a component of the large subunit of the eukaryotic ribosome. It is transcribed by RNA polymerase I as part of the 45S precursor that also contains 18S and 28S rRNA.
Source: RNAcentral